GAUGAACGCUGGCGGCGUGCCUAAUACAUGCAAGUCGAGCGAACAGACGAGGAGCUUGCUCCUCUGACGUUAGCGGCGGACGGGUGAGUAACACGUGGAUAACCUCCCUAUAAGACUGGGAUAACUUCGGGAAACCGGCGCUAAUACCGGAUAAUAUAUUGAACCGCAUGGUUCAAUAGUGAAAGACGGUUUUGCUGUCACUUAUAGAUGGAUCCGCGCCGCAUUAGCUAGUUGGUAAGGUAACGGCUUACCAAGGCGACGAUGCGUAGCCGACCUGAGAGGGUGAUCGGCCACACUGGAACUGAGACACGGUCCAGACUCCUACGGGAGGCAGCAGUAGGGAAUCUUCCGCAAUGGGCGAAAGCCUGACGGAGCAACGCCGCGUGAGUGAUGAAGGUCUUCGGAUCGUAAAACUCUGUUAUUAGGGAAGAACAAAUGUGUAAGUAACUAUGCACGUCUUGACGGUACCUAAUCAGAAAGCCACGGCUAACUACGUG
This 497-nucleotide ribosomal RNA is filed under the name uncultured bacterium. RNAcentral describes it as "partial 16S ribosomal RNA". It matches the Rfam family "Bacterial small subunit ribosomal RNA", at positions 28 to 507 of the family's 1533-position model. The record is from RNAcentral.